RNAcentral lists this ribosomal RNA (430 nucleotides) under bacterium OM10. Its description in RNAcentral is "bacterial SSU rRNA". It matches the Rfam family "Bacterial small subunit ribosomal RNA", at positions 974 to 1387 of the family's 1533-position model. The record is from RNAcentral.
CCUGACUCUUGACAUCCUGUGAACUUUCUAGAGAUACUGACGUCCCCUUCGGGGACACAGAGACAGGUGCUGCAUGGUUGUCGUCAGCUCGUGUUGUGAAAUGUUGGGUUAAGUCCCGCAACGAGCGCAACCCUUAUCCUUUGUUGCCAGCGGUCCGGCCGGGAACUCAAAGGAAACUGCCGGUGAUAAACUGAAGGAAGGGGGGGAUGACUUCAAGUCAUCUGGGCCCUUACAACUAGGGCUACCCCCUUGCUACAAGGGCGCAUACAAAGAGAACCAAACUCCCAAGAUCAACCGGACCUCAUAAUCUGCUUCCUAUUCCGAAUUGGAGUCUGCACCUCACCUCCUUGAACUCGGAUUCCCUAUUAUUCCUAAAUCACAAUGCUACGGUGAAUACUUUCCCGGGUCUGGUACACCCCGGGGGGUGGAA